RNAcentral lists this transfer RNA (74 nucleotides) under bacterium HR36. RNAcentral's name for it is "tRNA-Thr". It matches the Rfam family "tRNA". Rfam says of the family: Transfer RNA (tRNA) molecules are approximately 80 nucleotides in length. Their secondary structure includes four short double-helical elements and three loops (D, anti-codon, and T loops). The record is from RNAcentral.
AGCCGGCGUAGCUCAACGGCAGAGCACCGCUUUCGUAAAGCGGGGGUUGUGGGUUCAAAUCCCACCGCCGGCUU